Molecule: ribosomal RNA, 496 nt
Filed under: uncultured bacterium
Lineage: Bacteria
Description: partial 16S ribosomal RNA
Rfam family: Bacterial small subunit ribosomal RNA
Source: RNAcentral
GGGGGGGGGGGGGGGGGGGGGGGGGGGGGGGGGGGGGGGGGGGGGGGGGGGGGGCGGGGGCCUCUGGCGGUAGCGGCGGACGGGGGAGUAACACGUGGAUAACCUACCUAUAAGACUGGGAUAACUUCGGGAAACCGGAGCUAAUACCGGAUAAUAUAUUGAACCGCAUGGUUCAAUAGUGAAAGGCGGUUUUGCUGUCACUUAUAGAUGGAUCCGCGCCGCAUUAGCUAGUUGGUAAGGUAACGGCUUAACAAGGCAACGAUGCGUAGCCGACCUGAGAGGGUGAUCGGCCACACUGGAACUGAGACACGGUCCAGACUCCUACGGGAGGCAGCAGUAGGGAAGCUUCCGCAAUGGGCGAAAGCCUGACGGAGCAACGCCGCGUGAGUGAUGAAGGUCUUCGGAUCGUAAAACUCUGUUAUUAGGGAAGAACAAAUGUGUAAGUAACUAUGCACGUCUUGACGGUACCUAAUCAGAAAGCCACGGCUAACUACGU